GAUUAAGUUAUUAAGGGCGCACGGUGGAUGCCUUGGCACUAGAAGCCGAUGAAGGACGUUACUAACGACGAUAUGCUUUGGGGAGCUGUAAGUAAGCUUUGAUCCAGAGAUUUCCGAAUGGGGAAACCCAGCAUGAGUUAUGUCAUGUUAUCGAUAUGUGAAUACAUAGCAUAUCAGAAGGCACACCCGGAGAACUGAAACAUCUUAGUACCCGGAGGAAGAGAAAGAAAAUUCGAUUCCCUUAGUAGCGGCGAGCGAAACGGGAAGAGCCCAAACCAACAAGCUUGCUUGUUGGGGUUGUAGGACACUCUAUACGGAGUUACAAAGGACGACAUUAGACGAAUCAUCUGGAAAGAUGAAUCAAAGAAGGUAAUAAUCCUGUAGUCGAAAAUGUUGUCUCUCUUGAGUGGAUCCUGAGUACGACGGAGCACGUGAAAUUCCGUCGGAAUCUGGGAGGACCAUCUCCUAAGGCUAAAUACUCUCUAGUGACCGAUAGUGAACCAGUACCGUGAGGGAAAGGUGAAAAGCACCCCGGAAGGGGAGUGAAAUAGAACCUGAAACCGUGUGCUUACAAGUAGUCAGAGCCCGUUAAUGGGUGAUGGCGUGCCUUUUGUAGAAUGAACCGGCGAGUUACGAUUUGAUGCAAGGUUAAGCAGUAAAUGUGGAGCCGUAGCGAAAGCGAGUCUGAAUAGGGCGUUUAGUAUUUGGUCGUAGACCCGAAACCAGGUGAUCUACCCUUGGUCAGGUUGAAGUUCAGGUAACACUGAAUGGAGGACCGAACCGACUUACGUUGAAAAGUGAGCGGAUGAACUGAGGGUAGCGGAGAAAUUCCAAUCGAACCUGGAGAUAGCUGGUUCUCUCCGAAAUAGCUUUAGGGCUAGCCUCAAGUGAUGAUUAUUGGAGGUAGAGCACUGUUUGGACGAGGGGCCCCUCUCGGGUUACCGAAUUCAGACAAACUCCGAAUGCCAAUUAAUUUAACUUGGGAGUCAGAACAUGGGUGAUAAGGUCCGUGUUCGAAAGGGAAACAGCCCAGACCACCAGCUAAGGUCCCAAAAUAUAUGUUAAGUGGAAAAGGAUGUGGCGUUGCCCAGACAACUAGGAUGUUGGCUUAGAAGCAGCCAUCAUUUAAAGAGUGCGUAAUAGCUCACUAGUCGAGUGACACUGCGCCGAAAAUGUACCGGGGCUAAACAUAUUACCGAAGCUGUGGAUUGUCCUUUGGACAAUGGUAGGAGAGCGUUCUAAGGG
This 1245-nucleotide ribosomal RNA is filed under the name Staphylococcus aureus. RNAcentral describes it as "partial 23S ribosomal RNA". It matches the Rfam family "Bacterial large subunit ribosomal RNA", at positions 1 to 1247 of the family's 2925-position model. Lineage: Bacteria; Bacillati; Bacillota; Bacilli; Caryophanales; Staphylococcaceae. The record is from RNAcentral.